UGGGGAAUCUUGGACAAUGGGCGCAAGCCUGAUCCAGCCAUGCCGCGUGAGCGAUGAAGGCCUUAGGGUUGUAAAGCUCUUUCAACGGUGAAGAUGAUGACGGUAGCCGUAGAAGAAGCCCCGGCUAACUUCGUGCCAGCAGCCGCGGUAAUACGAAGGGGGCAAGCGUUGUUCGGAAUUACUGGGCGUAAAGGGCGUGUAGGCGGUCUAAUCAGUCAGAGGUGAAAGCCCUGGGCUCAACCCAGGAAUUGCCUUUGAUACUGUUAGACUAGAGUUCGGGAGAGGGUAGUGGAAUUCCCAGUGUAGAGGUGAAAUUCGUAGAUAUUGGGAAGAACACCAGUGGCGAAGGCGGCUACCUGGACCGAUACUGACGCUGAGGCGCGAAAGCGUGGGGAAGC
RNAcentral lists this ribosomal RNA (398 nucleotides) under uncultured bacterium. Its description in RNAcentral is "bacterial SSU rRNA". It matches the Rfam family "Bacterial small subunit ribosomal RNA", at positions 355 to 770 of the family's 1533-position model. The record is from RNAcentral.